RNAcentral lists this long non-coding RNA (6265 nucleotides) under Sus scrofa (pig). RNAcentral's name for it is "lncRNA (ENSSSCG00000063073.1)". Lineage: Eukaryota; Metazoa; Chordata; Mammalia; Artiodactyla; Suidae. The record is from RNAcentral.
GCUAUUUCUUUGGCCACUCCUGCGGCAUAUGGAGGUUCCCAGGCUAGGGGUCUAAUCGGAGCUGUAGCUGCCAGCCUACGCCAGAGCCACAGCAACGCGGGAUCCGAGCUGCGUCUGUGACCUACACCACAGCUCACGGCAACGCCGGAUCCUUAACCCACUGAGCAAGGGCAGGGAUCGAACCCCAACCUCAUGGUUCCUAGUCGGAUUCGUUAACCACUGCGCCACGACGGGAACUCCUGAAGCUGUUUUCUAAUCACGCUCUGUGACUUUCGACACAUCUUGGUCAUCAGCAAAAGGCACUAAACUAACUUACAUCAGGGAAAGUGGCUACUCUGUCAUCCUUUUGUGGUUCAUCUCUUUUUUCAUUUGAUGACGAAAUAUUUAUUCUGCAGCUCUCACAGGCAACGUACUUUAGUAGAGUUUCAUGGGGCCUUCCCUUCCGAUGGUUCUCCAAAGGCCAAGGAGAGGAGAGAGUUAUGGAGAGAAGCUGUGUCUACAGGGGCUCUGGAGGUAACUGGAAAGUCCAUGCCACAGUGAAAAGGUACAGCUGCUCCUCAAGGACCAACUGCAGGGCCCAUGUUGCGAGAUAUUUUGUUUGGCCAAACCACAUGGAAGAAACCAAACAUGUCUGGGACCCAUCAUUUGCAGGCUCUGAACCAAAGGGAUCUGGGGAAGCAAAGAGUUUGAAGAUCUGGAAUGAGAGUUAUCCAAAUUAGCCUAUGAAGACAGAAGUGUCUCCCCAGCAGAGGGAACCACUCAAAUGACAGAUGGUGUUUGAAGCUCUUCUGGUGCUUUCUCAUACCAUCUCUUUGACCUUGACUUUGAUUCUCAUCUGUCAAUCCCAAAGAGCAGUGACCAUCCAAAGCUGGCCUACCUCACAGGGUCCUGUCAGAAAAAAGAAGGAAAUGGACGAGAAAUGGACCAUAAACCUUUGAUACCCCCAAAGGAUGGUCCUUGGACAAGCAGCAGCAGCAGCAGCAUCACCACUUGGGAACUUGUUAGAAAUGCAGACUCUCAGCUCUACCCCAGGCCUAUGGAAGAGGAAUUAUUUAACAAGAUCCCUGGGGGAUUCGCAGGCUCAAGAAUGUUUGAGGGGCCCUGCUGUAAAUUGCAAAAAUGUUAAUUAGGACCAACGUAUUUAGCAAGCUACCCAUGUCUGCCUGUGUUCCUAGGUGGACGUGGGUACCAGCUUUAGGAACAGAUUACAACUUAGAGUGUUCGAGCUUCUCUCCUCUCCAGGGACCAAAAGGUGAAAUACCCGUGGCUUAGACAAUUGCUUCUAGUUAUACUGGGAAGCACCCAGCAAGAGAAAAAGAAAAGGUGCUGAUUCAAAGAUUAUCAGUUAAUGAAAAGAUAAGAUGGCCCCGGGCCAUGGGAUCAGACAGGUCUCAGCUCAAAUCCGCCAGUUAGUAUUUAAGUGUGAUCACAGGAAAGUUACUGAAACUUUCAGAGGCUCAGUUUCCUCACCCAUAAAAUAAGAAUAUACUAGUAUUUACUUCAUAAUAUCAUCAGGAAUAUCAAAUAUUGUAACAUAUGUUAACACACUGAGGCCGUGGGAUGACCUCCUGACCUCCCAGCCCUGUUGCAGGCACUUUAUAAACACCGUGUGUUGUAAUGGCCCAUCUGAACCCAGAGAUGGCUGAAAUCAGUUGACUUUGGCAUUCCUGGUUAUCCCUAAAUCCAAGCCAACAGCUUUUAGACGAUAUUUGCAUUAGAUACGAACCAGCUUCAUAUGUGUCAUGCAUAAGAGAAGAGCUUCCUUCAGUGUGGCGUUUGUUGCUUAAUAUUAAAUCAUUCAUACAAGGAGCCAGUGGUAUGUGUGCUGGGAGCUUCCGCAGAAGUGAUGUGCAAACAUCAACUGGCAAGUUAUUAGGUCAUUACCCAUAAUGAUAAUGUCUGCAAUCUUCAAGAAAUAAAGCAACCCACCAUUUGAGAAAAAAGGUCUUUGUUGGAAGCCUUGGGCUUUGCGACGAGAGAGAUGACUAAUGCUCAAAGCAGAAGGUCUCCUAGAAAACAUACUUUAUAUUCAGCUACCUAGAAUUUCAGCCUGGCAUGUGUUAUUAUUGGGAAAUGUCCUGGUGACAAUUUUAAAAAGCAGAGUGAGAAAAUAUUCAUGGAGAAGGGUGAGGGGGGCCACUUCAUAAGACUUCUGGUGGCUCCAGCUUAGAAAUCAUUAUCCUUAUGUUAUCCUCAUACCAAGAGAACAUAAAUCAGGAGCAGGGAUAAAGCAAGUGAAACCAAACAGGGACAAAGACACUACACCGUAGGGCUGAGACUUGCCUAUCAAAUUAAGAGCUUUGGGCCUUGACUUUUCAACUGGUAGCAACUAUUUUCAGCAAAAUGUACAUACUGAUUUUCUAUACAUUUCCCCCACAUAGGGCUAUAUAAACACACUCACACAUAUAUAGUUCUUUCCAAGAUUGGAAAGUUUGAAGGGUUUUUGUGGCUUUUUUGCCAAGAAAGGGGACAGUGAAUCAUUGUCCAGAACGACCUUCAGAAAGUAUAUGAAGCCGAUGCACCAUCUGUAUUUUUUCAGACAUAUAUUCCCAUUUUACUUGAAAUAACAUCAUUAGCCCAGCCAUCCCACAGAGCUGGAAGGUGAUCUUGUUUCCUCCUUGCCUGGCUUGAAGUCAAACAUCUUUUCUUUUUUUUGGCAAAUGCUACUUCUUUCUCUGAAAUAUUUCAUGCAGAUAAUGGAUAAUGACCACUUCUCAUUGCCUUUUCUCGAAAACGUCUAACUGCAUUAGCCAAGAACGGACAACUUUUAACCUGCUUCUUUUGCUAAGUUCAUGGCUGUGACCACUUCCCAUUAAGAAAGAAAGAAAGAGAGAAGCAAGCUCACUGUUCCUUCAGAGAAGCUAAAUUGGCCCUGUCAGAAAGCGAUCUGGCCUUUGCUUUUCUGGUGAAAAGGCUUUGCUAUCUCUAGAAUCACAGAAGCCCAAGGUGGAGGGACCUUUCACGUCGUACAAGCAGUUACUCAGUCAGGCAAAAUUUCGCUGCCCUGGGAUUCUUCAAUUCUACCAUGGAUGGCUCAGACACCAGACCGUCCAGCCCUUCUUCAUGUUGGAUUCUCUGCCAGCGUGAUCACGGUGACCAUGGCUUUGAGGACCUGGUGUAUUGAAUUUCCUUCCCAUUCCCAGGAGGUGAGCAGGGUUUCCACACUCUUCUCAAACCCUACAGUUUGGCUUUUGUUCAUUUGCCAUGAGGCAAACCAAGAACUCAUCCCCUCAAAAAAACAUAAAGACUUAUUCUCUUAACUUGCCUUUGCAGCUCAGGGUGAAUGAGUUUAUCAGCCAGUUUCUAUAGAAGAACAAGUUGCCCCAGGAGCCAGCUGAGUCAGCAUUGCCCUCUAAGCCAGUGGUUCUCCACUGGGACUGCAUCUGUGCAUCUGGACAAGAUCUGGAGCUGUCUUCGGUUGUUACCACUGGAGACAAGGUGCUACUGGGAACCAGUGGGUGGGGAGGCCAGGGAUGCUGCUAAACACCCUACCAUGCACAGGACGGCCCCCCACAACAAAGACAUAUUCAGUCCCAAGGUGAAGCAGGGAACUCUCUGUGUUAUUAAAGGAGAAGAGAGAAGAAAGCACACAUAGCACCCUCAAAAGUGGUAUAACAGGGAAUUAAAGAGCAUGAGGCCUGGAGCAAGCCUGCCCAGGUUCAAAUCCCCCUUCUGCCACAUUUGUCUUUGGAGCAAACUCACAGCCUCGAUGGGUCGGUCUCAAGGUCUUUAUCUAUAAAUUAGAGAUAAUAACAGUACCUGCCUCAAAGAUGACUGGGAGACUUGAGCUGACUAGAAAGAACUCAGUAUUAUCAGAAUGCCUGGUAACAUUAAGCACUCAGUGCACGUUCCCUUUUAUUGGUAUUAUAGGAACAAAGACAUAGUCAUGAACAGCCACGUUUUGAAGCUAGAUUUCUCAGGAUUUCUAGUAUUUACUCCUUCAAGUGUUGGCUGAAAACAAAACAAAACAAAACAAAAGAACCGUCAGGAUCCUAGCAUUAUUCUCAAUCAAUUCCUUCUGGAUUCAUUUAAAUCCCCUUAUCAGAUUGCCUAUUUUUAUACUACAAGAAACAAACAAACAAAAAAGUUGAUGAUGAAAGGGAUUAGCAUUUCUAAAUAAUGCCGGUAAACGCCAUCAAAUAAAUCCUGACCUAUUUCAGUUCUUAAUUAACUAGGUUAGCUUUUACAGGAGGCAACUUAUAUAAAACAGCAAGACUGAUCGGAGGCCAAACCCAUGCUGGACAGUUGGAUGAAGCAGUUCUUGGAAAUGACCCAAAUUCUGGGAGAUACAGAGGUCUUCGAUCUUUUUGAAUCGACAGUUUGAAUAAUCUAAUGGAAAAUUCCCUGGGGUUUUCUGCCCCUUUGAUGUCAAGUUUAGGGCUUUUCAAGGUUUGUCAUCUUUUCUCUGCCCCUUCCUCUAAAGGAGAUGGAUAAAUGGGACAUGUCUUGAGUUCACUCUGUUAGCAAAGCCCUUCCCCACUUAAAGCACCGCACUGGUCAUUCUCCCAGGAGAAGAAAGCAGGCGGGGACACCGAUCUAGGGAUCUGAUGUUCUCCCAGGCAGAGCACAGACACAUGGCUUAGAACACAGCCACUGCCUGCCUUGUCCUCGAUAUUCUUUCUGACCUUUUAGAAUUUGUUUUUUCCUGUUUUAGGUAUUUCCUUCUCCUUUCAGAAUCUUCUCAUGUUAGUUUUCUGCCAGCUUCCAAAAUACUUUCAUGAAAGCUGAAUCCUCCUAAAAAGUAAUAAUAUAUGCAUAUUUUUUCUUGAAAAAAAAAAAAAAAAACGGGGGGGGGCAGUGUUCCGCUAAUGGGUUAGUUAAUUUGCUUCUCAGUGUAAAAGAUCUUUUUUCUUUUCCCGGGCAAAUAAUAAGAAGAUGACCCAGAGGUUUCAGACCUGGAGGAUGAUUAGGCCUGGGUCGAAUUAUUACAAAAGAUCUUUAGUUGCAGCCUCUAAAACCUUUGACUGACUAUUAGGAGAUGAUAAAAGGAACUAGACGUUGUACCUAAAGAGAGCUUCAAAGAGGACAUUGAUUGCCCUUCCAGGUCUUGUUAAUUUUUUGUUACUCAUAAACAUUGAAGUUGGCUAAUUCUUGGGCAGUGCCGAAAUCCCCCAACCUAUUAAGUAUGGGGGGAUAUUGGCACCACCAGGUCUAUGUGUAGGCCGAUUUGUCUAAGCCAAUCACCUUCAAACAGUGGCUUGUUAUAGAUAAUUCAGGGUAACCUAAGCCAAUAGGUGGUCAGAAUGCUGACCAUCAAAUAAGUGAUGGUUUGACUCGAUGGUUAAAAAAAGUAAGUCUCUUCCUUUCCUUUUUCCUGUUCUUAUGCAUAAAGAUACAGACUCAUGGACCAUUAACAAUUUGUUUAGCAUGAGGGAAGGCAGCCUGAAGACUCAGCCAAUACACAAGGGCACAGAGCCUACAAUACCGGAGCAAAGUCCUAGCCUUGAUCAAAUUCUACCUGAAGCUUGACUAUCUUUAGACUUUGAAAUUUCAUGAGCAAAUAAUCCCCUUUACGGCUUAUGAUGGUCUAAGGGUUGGGGUUAUUUGUAACUGAGGGCUUUAUGGUAUAUCUAUCAGUCUAUGCACAUUUCUUAGUUUUGUGCAGCUGUUAUUUUAUAAAGUGGAUAAUUUUUAUCAACAUGUACAUGUUAGUCUUGCAGGAUAAACAUUGUUUUGUUCCUUGGUGUGUGUAUUCUUUAGCUCCUAAUAAUUAUGGUGGGAAAAGAUUAUCAUUUCUUUGUUUGUUUGUUUGACACAGUAUAAGCCAAUCUCCUUUUGCUAGUCUGCUCAUUAAUUAUCCAUGAUGCAAAAGGUCGAUGCUGUAAAAUUUGGGCCUGGUGUUCAUAGUCAAGCACCUUACCCGUGGUUACUUUCAUACCGGCUAUUUCAAAUGCUGAGCUCACUUUACAUACCAUCUUCCCCUUGAGAACUUCUCCAAGACCCCCAAAUAGAGUCUUCCUUUCACUGUGAUCCAUACGACUUUAUCCAGAUCUGCCAGUGGACAAACCAAAUUGUGAUUCUCGAUCUUACCUCCCAGAUGGUAAGCUCCUUAAUUUGUUUUAUUUUGUUUUUUGUUUGUUUGUUUUUGGUUGCACCUGUGCCAUAUGGAAGUUCCUCCUGGGCCAGGGAUUGAACUUGCGCCAGUGUGGUGACCAGAGCCACAGCAGUGACAACACCAGGUCCUUAACCAGCUGCACCACGAGGGGGACUCUGGUAAACUCUUCAAGGGCAAGAAGGCUACUGGUGUUUAUCUUCCCAUUCCCAG